GGUGAUUGUCCUCUUGUAAUAGGACAGCGCCGGCACCCGUUUUGCUAGCGUCCACUUCCAUUUUAAACGGCUUAUCAAAAUCAGGUGUGGCAAGAACAGGAGAACUACUCAAUAAAGCCUUCAAGGAAUCAAAAGCAGAUUUGCAAGCAGAGGACCAGACAAACGGGACAUUCUUACCUAAAAGGUGCUGGGAAGGAGCUAAUAGCUUGGAUCUUUGCAUCAAGAGGUCGUACAGUACCAUUACCAACAGUUUUUCCAAGGAGCAUAUUCCAAUAUUGAGGCGACAGCUAACACCUUAGGCGAAGAAGGUGAGGGCAAAGACCCAGAAAGAUCGCCCGUAUCAAUGGAACUGCGAUCAAGGUAGGGUUUCAACAAAUUCACAUGACAUAUGCGAGUCUUACUACGGCGAUCUGGAGUUGCUAAUAUAUAGUUACUGUCAGUUUGCUUUUCAAUUAUUUUAUAGGGACCGGAGAAUCUGGUUUGCAAAGCGGAACCAGCAACAGGUAAAAGUGCCAGGACCCGAUCCCCAAUGUUAAAUGUGCGACUGACUGCCUUGAUAUCGAAGUGAGCCUUCAUUUUCUUUUGAGAAGAACACAGAUUUUCACUAGCAAUUUUGCGGGCCAAGCAAAGACGUUCACGGAGAUUAGUAACAAACAUUUGAAGGUUAUCACUUUCUGUUGAUGAUGAGGAUAGCCACUGCUCAUAAAGCACUCUAAGUGGGCCACGGACAGACCGUCCAAAAACAAGAGCAUUUGGGCUAAACCCAAGGGAUUCUUGUACUGUGUCCCUAAUUGCAAACAAAAGGAGGGGUACUCCCUCAUCCCAAUCCUUUUGUGUUUCAAAGCAAUAUGCUCUUAGCAUAUUUU
This is a long non-coding RNA of Trichomycterus rosablanca, 866 nucleotides long. RefSeq lists it as uncharacterized. Lineage: Eukaryota; Metazoa; Chordata; Actinopteri; Siluriformes; Trichomycteridae. The transcript is spliced from 3 exons. The record is from RefSeq and is a predicted model, not a curated record.